This 515-nucleotide ribosomal RNA is filed under the name uncultured bacterium. RNAcentral describes it as "partial 16S ribosomal RNA". It matches the Rfam family "Bacterial small subunit ribosomal RNA", at positions 28 to 523 of the family's 1533-position model. The record is from RNAcentral.
GAUGAACGCUGGCGGCGUGCCUAAUACAUGCAAGUCGAGCGAAUGGAUUAAGAGCUUGCUCUUAUGAAGUUAGCGGCGGACGGGUGAGUAACACGUGGGUAACCUGCCCAUAAGACUGGGAUAACUCCGGGAAACCGGGGCUAGUACCGGAUAAUAUUUUGAACUGCAUGGUUCAAAAUUGAAAGGCGGCUUCGGCUGUCACUUCUGGAUGGACCCGCGUCGCAUUAGCUAGUUGGGGAGGGAACGGCUCACCAAGGCAACGAUGCGUAGCCGACCUGGGAGGGUGAUCGGCCACACUGGGACUGAGACACGGCCCAGACUCCUACGGGAGGCAGCAGUAGGGAAUCUUCCGCAAUGGACGAAAGUCUGACGGAGCAACGCCGCGUGAGUGAUGAAGGCUUUCGGGUCGUAAAACUCUGUUGUUAGGGAAGAACAAGUGCUAGUUGAAUAAGCUGGCACCUUGACGGUACCUAACCAGAAAGCCACGGCUAACUACGUGCCAGCAGCCGCCGUAA